Molecule: ribosomal RNA, 405 nt
Filed under: uncultured bacterium
Lineage: Bacteria
Description: bacterial SSU rRNA
Rfam family: Bacterial small subunit ribosomal RNA
Source: RNAcentral
AUUGAACGCUGGCGGCAGGCCUAACACAUGCAAGUCGAACGGUAACAGGAAGCAGCUUGCUGCUUCGCUGACGAGUGGCGGACGGGUGAGUAAUGUCUGGGAAGCUGCCUGAUGGAGGGGGAUAACUACUGGAAACGGUAGCUAAUACCGCAUAAUGUCGCAAGACCAAAGAGGGGACCUUCGGGCCUCUUGCCAUCGGAUGUGCCCAGAUGGGAUUAGCUUGUUGGUGGGGUAACGGCUCACCAAGGCGACGAUCCCUAGCUGGUCUGAGAGGAUGACCAGCCACACUGGAACUGAGACACGGUCCAGACUCCUACGGGAGGCAGCAGUGGGGAAUAUUGCACAAUGGGCGCAAGCCUGAUGCAGCCAUGCCGCGUGUAUGAAGAAGGCCUCGGUUGUAAGUAC